GAAUUAGGGUUAAGGUGAACUCGUCAAACCCAACAUCAGUCAUAUGAAUCAAUCGAUCGAUCUGAGUUCGAUGUGAAACCCCAAUGGAAAACUCUUUUCCAUUAUUUCACUCUGCCAUGGCCAUGGGCUUAAGGACUUGAUCUUUCGAUCAUCAUAGGACUACUCCUCUCAUCUACCGAGGUUGAUAGAUAUCAUCUUGGUGCAAUCUGGUUCCUACAAUGAAUAUGCUACAGCCAACAUACACCUCAGGAUUUCGAAUGGCUAGGAGAUCGAGUUAUGGUGUAGUCAAACUAUAACA
Molecule: long non-coding RNA, 298 nt
Filed under: Elaeis guineensis (African oil palm)
Lineage: Eukaryota; Viridiplantae; Streptophyta; Magnoliopsida; Arecales; Arecaceae
Description: long non-coding RNA (EGUI_LNC063812)
Source: RNAcentral